Molecule: ribosomal RNA, 671 nt
Filed under: Gambierdiscus cf. yasumotoi Suda-2013
Lineage: Eukaryota; Dinophyceae; Gonyaulacales; Pyrocystaceae
Description: eukaryotic LSU rRNA
Rfam family: Eukaryotic large subunit ribosomal RNA
Source: RNAcentral
UGAUUGUCGUUGUACCGUACAGAGGCUACUUGACGCCAUGGGUGGAUGGUGGACUCCUGCAAGGAAAGGACUGCUGGACAAGGAGUGCCUUCGUGGGUUCACCUUCAUGCAAUGAACAACUGACUCAGAACUGACUCGGGCAGGGGGAAUCCGACUGUUUAAUUGAAACAAAGCAUUGCGAUGGCCCUAGAGGGUGGUGACACAAUGUGAUUUCUGCCCAGUGCUCUGAAUGUCAAAGUGAGGAAAUUCAACUAAGCGCGGGUAAACGGCGGGAGUAACUAUGACUCUCUUAAGGUAGCCAAAUGCCUCGUCAUCCAAUUAGUGACGCGCAUGAAUGGAUUAAUGAGAUUCCUACUGUCCCUAUCUGCUGUCCAGCGAAACCACAGCCAAGGGAACGGGCUUGGGUGGAUCUGCGGGGAAAGAAGACCCUGUUGAGCUUGACUCUAAUCUGACUGUGUGAAAUGACUUAGGGGGUGUAGGAUAUGUGGGAGCUAUGGUGGUCUUGAAAUACCACUACCCCUAAAUGUUGCUUUACUUUAAUCUAUUAUGCUGUACCCUGGCAAAGUGCAUGAUUUUCGUGUUUAAGGUUGUCACAUCUGUCCCACUGAUCUGCGUAGGAGACUCAGUCAGGUGGGGAGUUUGGCUGGGGCCGCACAUCUGUUUAAAGGAUA